RNAcentral lists this ribosomal RNA (350 nucleotides) under uncultured bacterium. RNAcentral's name for it is "bacterial SSU rRNA". It matches the Rfam family "Bacterial small subunit ribosomal RNA", at positions 8 to 353 of the family's 1533-position model. The record is from RNAcentral.
AGAGUUUGAUCCUGGCUCAGGACGAACGCUGGCGGCGCGCCUAACACAUGCAAGUCGAACGAGAGAUGAGGAGCUUGCUCUUCAAAUCGAGUGGCGAACGGGUGAGUAACGCGUGAGGAACCUGCCUCAAAGAGGGGGACAACAGUUGGAAACGACUGCUAAUACCGCAUAAGCCCACGGCUCGGCUUCGAGCAGAGGGAAAAGGAGUGAUCCGCUUUGAGAUGGCCUCGCGUCCGAUUAGCUAGUUGGUGAGGUAACGGCCCACCAAGGCAACGAUCGGUAGCCGGACUGAGAGGUUGAACGGCCACAUUGGGACUGAGACACGGCCCAGACUCCUACGGGAGGCAGCA